Molecule: RNA transcript, 3589 nt
Organism: Lycium barbarum (goji berry)
Lineage: Eukaryota; Viridiplantae; Streptophyta; Magnoliopsida; Solanales; Solanaceae
Exons: 3
Source: RefSeq, a predicted model, not a curated record
UCUUAGUUUUUCCCAACACUCCACUAAGACCACCCACACCCCCAACCCCAACCGCAAAUAAAAGCAAAAUCCCUCAUGUUAUCUCUGUUGUGCUUUCCCCAACCGACCAUCCGCAACCCUCAAAUAAAAGAAAGAAACACCCUUAUUUUCUAUACAAAAUUUACAGUUACUGAGCACGGAGCAACUCCACGAAGAACCGCAAACGAUUCUGGAAUCCUCACUGCGACUAAUCUUCCGUUUCCAUUGAAGUGGUCUUAUGGUUUCGUUCUCCUUCUCAUCAAGUUAAGUUUUCUGCCAAGUAUCUAAACUUCUAGUUGUAACUGUUGUAGAAUUGAGAAUUCCUUUAUUGUUCCAGUUAUUUCUCUUGGUAUUUAUCAAAUAUAUUGGUUUUUUUCUUAGAAUUGCAUAUUUGCUUAUAUAAUUACAUCCAGCUUUUUAGAGCAUUACGAUUAAUGUGCAGCAGUCGCUUAUUUUUUUCCUCUGGCUUAUUGUGCGCCUUUUUUGAUGAUAUAACUAUGGAAAGAGUUAAUGGUAUUAUUUGAUUAAUAUUUUUAGUUAAUUAAACUUAAUAAUUGGGGUUUACCAAAGAUGUUUUUGCUCGCAGUUUCACUAAUAAUUUCACUAUAUUUAUCCCUUAAAUGGGACAAAUCGUUAUGGAGUUUGGGGAUACUAACACCUUCCUAAUACAUAGAGGUUCAUAUUGUUAGUAAAGAUGCUACUCAGUAUAAUAUAAAUUUGCUUAAAUAUCUGUGACUUUUAAGGUGUGUCUCUUGAUACUUAAUGUUAUUAGCAAGGCGGCUAUUAUGUGCCCAAUAAAUAGUUGUACUGAUGGAGGUAUCUGAAAGGAGAGGUAUGUGAUCCCUACUUGGUAAAAGAUGAAAGGAUUAUUAGAUAGAAAAGGAGAAGUUACGAUCCAACUUUAAUUGCGAAAUUUGAUCUCUUAUAUUUAAUGCCAAAAAGUCCCUUCCCUUUGCCAAAUCCCCAAUUGCAGGUAAUCGAUUAAGAUGUUUUGCUGGCCUCGUCAGCAAGUUGCAUUCUGGAAAGUCAUAGCACCUUCGCUAGGUAAUCAGUCAACCUUGCUGUAAAGGAAAAUCCUUUGAUUGAUAAAGUAUGAACAGGUAUGUGAGUGUUAAUGUGGUUUAUCUUCCGUGAUUGAACUCCUAAUUGUUUUUCAUCUGUGCUCGCCAUUUAAUUUUUGACACUAGAAUUGUGGUUCAGAUGAUCCACGAAAAUGUAAAAAUGUUUAAUCCCCACAAAUGCACCUCCUUUAUUUCUAUUAAUAUCAGAGUUGUCUACGUCAAUUUAUAAUCUAAUGGUGGAACCAUACGUUUUUACUUUGAAGAGUUUUCUUUAAGUUUUUGGAUAACAAUGGUUUGGUGCAUUUUCUUUUCAAUUAGACAAUACUCAAGUUUGCUAUUCCCUUAUCGUGGUAAAAUAAGGCAUUUUCAAUUUUCACUAUAUAUGCAGUACACUAAGAUAUCAUCAUUUGUUAACAUAGAAAUGCUUAUACGUGGAAAAUGUUAACUUUGAUUGGGCGCCGACACGUUUUAUCAGUUGGUGGUAGCAUUCAGAAAAUCUUUCCACCUACGAGCAACAGGAUUCUCUUGAAGGUCUGCAUUUCAAUAUUGGACAGGAUUCAUGACAAAGAGGGGAGAUCAAGUUUGUCAACCAAAGGUACUUUUUGCUGAGAAUGGCUCUUAUUAUUCUUGUCUAUGCAGGACCUUUUCUGAGGUUUGUUGCUUCGGUAAUGGCUCAUCUUAGAGUAUUGGAAUUUCCAUUUCUAAAAUGUUUUGUGAGAUUCUAGUGUUUGGGUUUAUUCUAACCAAAAGCGGGUUCAUGUCGUGCUUUUCUGUUUUCUUUUGGUACAUCUAGUCGCUCUCACCUUAUGACUCAGAGUCCCACGUUGUUGACAUUGAUAAUUUUGACGAUGAACUUGAGGAAGCUAACACCACUCCUUUUUGGAGAGGGGGUUUGGCAUAUACAAGGUAUUCAAUUAUGUGAAGAAUAUGUAACUAAAUGACAAUGGUUCUUGUCUCCCACAUAACCUAUCAAGUAAGAAAAAACUGUCAAAUGACUUAGUAUAAUCUUUCUUAAAUCAAGCUUUAUCAAAAGCAAAACUGGAAUAGCUCAUUCUUCAUUCACAUUGGUGCUAAACUAGCUUAAUGGCCCAUUAUUAAGUCAGUCUCCUUGCCACAAUUAAAUGUACCUUUUUUUAUGUCAGUCUCCUUGCUAAAAGCAGUCAGUUUUGGGCAGCACCUCUUAAAUAACAGAGCAAUCAUUUAUAUUUUUUCAAAACUGAAACAUUUGUUGUGGUUUGGUUCUAUUGUACUUGGGGCUGCUGGAAGCUUAGCCUUGUUUAGGACCUGUUUCUUUUUGUUUGUCUAAGCAAACAAUUUUAUUUGCCUAACAUUAGUUUUAGACUAGUCAAACAAUGCAGAGACUAGCUGAUAAUGAAUUAAUCCUACCUUGAAAAAGCUAGUAGAAAAGUCCAUUUCUCCAACACCAAUUUACCAUCAGUUUCUGAGUUUCUAAACUUCAAGAGAUUCGUUGAGAUUUUCUAUCAUUUGUAUUCAUUGUUAAACUUGCAAAUAAUACCUGUAUUAGUUUGUUUAUCAUGUCCUUUAGCUUGAGGAAUUCCUUGCUUUAUUUUUUCCAAACAUAUAGGUUAAAAGUAUAAUGUGAGGAAUUAAGAGAUCAUUUAGGUCCCGACUCUUUUCUGUUAACAUCUUCUUGGUGUCAAUGAUGUGGAAUACAACAUAAUUAACUUUUUACUAUUCCAUUUCCCUAUACAACUUAAAACUGUUAAAAGCUAAAUUCGAUCUAGCUUUGUCUAAAUUAUAGUAAUCAUUUGCUCCUCGUGUCUCUUGAUUCACUUUCUAUUCCCGAAAAGUCAAAAACUAAGUGAUAAAGGUUUUGUGAAAUCUUCUAAGAUGUUAAUGGGUAAAAGGAUUGGGAUUGGUUGAAUAUAUUUUCCUCACUUUCUAUUAAUGUUCUAUUUUUUUCUGUAGGAUCUUAUAAGCACACCCUCUAUGUGUUCCUGGAGUUUGCGCUACUGUUUGUGAUUGGACUAAUGUAUGCAUAUUUGACUGUCAAUUACCUUUAUGGUUCCUAUCUACACUGGCGGAUAUAAUUGAGCUUUGUCGGAAAAUUACACUGUGUAGCUAGGUAAAAAAAAAUUAUUUUUAUGUAUAUAUAUUACAUAUUGACACUUCUUGGCUUUUUCGUGAAUUUACUUCUUUAUAUUUUGACACCACUUAGUGAAAAUUCUGGUUCUGCCACUGCCUAUCUACAUAGGAUUUACCUGGAGAAGCAUGGAAGAUGCAGUUACUGGGUGUAGCUUGUUUGUCACUUGCCUGCUAAAAUGGAGGCGAUUGAAGUUAGUGUAAAGCUACAGGCAAAUGCAUGUUCAUCUUGCUCGUUCUUUUUAGGAGCUGUUUGAAGUUCAAAUUUGUAAAUGCUACAGUGGAGUUAGUAGCCGAAGAAAUAAUUUCACAUAAUCGGAAGAUAUAUGUUUUUUAGCAUUGGGACACUUUAUUUCUUUUGUAAUUAACUAUGAAAUUCUAUAUAAUAAUUGAUUAUUUUCGGAUUA